ACGUGUGCUCUUCCGCUUACUGGGUUCCUUGUCAAAGCUUCAUGAAUUUAAUGUUUCUCUUUUUGUUUUUAUCAAGAAAUUGAGAUGAUGGUAAUUUCA
Vicugna pacos (alpaca) is the source of this 99-nucleotide non-coding RNA. Lineage: Eukaryota; Metazoa; Chordata; Mammalia; Artiodactyla; Camelidae. The record is from RefSeq and is a predicted model, not a curated record.